This is a small nucleolar RNA of Puntigrus tetrazona (Sumatra barb), 138 nucleotides long. RefSeq annotates it as small nucleolar RNA SNORA57. The transcript has a single exon. Lineage: Eukaryota; Metazoa; Chordata; Actinopteri; Cypriniformes; Cyprinidae. The record is from RefSeq and is a predicted model, not a curated record.
CCUCUCUUUGUUGACAUUCAUGUGGUUGUUCAGUACACAUGUAUGUAAUGGGUGGGAGGUAAAGGCAAUCCAGUGCUAUGUCUUCGGUGCCAGCAUGUUUAUUGUCUGCUGGUUCUAUCCUCAAUCACUGGAACAACC